Molecule: ribosomal RNA, 606 nt
Filed under: Triticum aestivum (bread wheat)
Lineage: Eukaryota; Viridiplantae; Streptophyta; Magnoliopsida; Poales; Poaceae
Description: partial small subunit ribosomal RNA
Source: RNAcentral
AUGAUGAAUAAGGUGUUCAUGGAGUUCUUGGAUAAGUUUGUUGUGGUGUUCAUUGAUGAUAUCUUGGUAUACUCGAAGAAUGGAGAGGAACACAAGGAGCAUUUGCGUUUAGUUCUCGAGAAGCUCAGGGAACAUCAGUUAUGUGCCAAGUUCAGCAAAUGCGAGUUUUGGUUGAAGGAAGUUGGAUUUCUUGGACAUGUUAUAUCAGGAGAAGGUAUAACAGUAGACCCUACCAAGGUUCAGUCUGUCACUGAUUGGCUAGCACCCACCUCAGUAGGAGAGAUCCGCAGUUUUCUUGGACUCGCGGGAUACUACUGGAGAUUCAUUGAGAAUUUCUCUAAGAUUGCGAAGCCCAUGACAGAGUUGUUGAAGAAGGACACCAAGUUCAAAUGGACAGAUGAAUGUGAGGCAAGUUUCCAGGAGUUGAAGAAACGUUUGGUUACAGCCCCAAUGCUGAUUCUGCUGGAUAUACGCAAGGAUUUCCAAGUGUAUUGCGACGCUUCUCGCUUAGGACUUGGAAGUGUACUUAUGCAAGAUGGAAGAGUUGUUUCAUAUGCCUCACGACAGCUUCGACCACAUGAGUUGAAUUAUGCCACGCAUGAUUAG